Long non-coding RNA from Sinocyclocheilus anshuiensis, 250 nucleotides. RefSeq lists it as uncharacterized. The record is from RefSeq and is a predicted model, not a curated record. Lineage: Eukaryota; Metazoa; Chordata; Actinopteri; Cypriniformes; Cyprinidae. The transcript is spliced from 3 exons.
UGUAAGAUUAAAAUUCAGUGAUGUUAUUGCAAGCACAAGAAAGAAACGACAUGAGGAUGGACAGAACACCACAUUUGUAGAAUGACCCAGAGACAAAUGAACUGGUGCUCCAUAACUAUCCAGAGUGAUCCCAAAUUUUGGAGUUACACAAAAAAAAAUCUUCACAACAAGACUCACAGUGUGAGGCUUUCUUUUUCCCAUUCUGGCAGAAGGAAGUGUUUGAGAAGAGGGAAAUAUUUCAGGGACAGAG